This is a long non-coding RNA of Neopsephotus bourkii (Bourke's parrot), 306 nucleotides long. RefSeq lists it as uncharacterized. The transcript is spliced from 3 exons. Lineage: Eukaryota; Metazoa; Chordata; Aves; Psittaciformes; Psittacidae. The record is from RefSeq and is a predicted model, not a curated record.
AAGGCCUGGAGUAGACACUGCACUGAACAAAUCUCCCACUGAAACCAGGGCAGGUUUUCACUUGUGAGUGUUCUCUGUGGGGCACAAUAGGAACCAAAUAGAAACAAAAAUAUUUGUAUAACAAGAUGAAACAUGAGCAAAGCCUUAGAAAACAGCAAAAGCUGCCUUUUGGGACUAGCAUUGGGGUAAGUAAAACAUAGGCAUGUUUCAGAACUACCAGUUCCCUUUUCCAAGGUUUUCUAAACACUGUGAGCCUCCUGCAGGUUCAUACUCUUCCAUAUCAUUCCUAAUGCAGCAUCUUACAGC